RNAcentral lists this ribosomal RNA (247 nucleotides) under uncultured archaeon. RNAcentral's name for it is "partial 16S ribosomal RNA". It matches the Rfam family "Archaeal small subunit ribosomal RNA", at positions 691 to 937 of the family's 1478-position model. The record is from RNAcentral.
CCGACGGUGAGGGGCGAAAGCUGGGGGAGCAAACCGGAUUAGAUACCCGGGUAGUCCCAGCUGUAAACGAUGCGCGUUAGGUGUGUCAGUGACCACGUGUCACUGAUGUGCCGAAGGGAAACCGUGAAGCGCGCCGCCUGGGGAGUACGGUCGCAAGGCUGAAGCUUAAAGGAAUUGGCGGGGGAGCACCACAACGGGUGGAGCCUGCGGUUUAAUCGGACUCAACGCCGGAAAUCUCACCGGAUAA